Molecule: long non-coding RNA, 368 nt
Filed under: Elaeis guineensis (African oil palm)
Lineage: Eukaryota; Viridiplantae; Streptophyta; Magnoliopsida; Arecales; Arecaceae
Description: long non-coding RNA (EGUI_LNC002986)
Source: RNAcentral
GCUCCCUUUUAUCCAUGCAGGCCUCUUCUUCGAAGAAAACAUGGUCCUUCACCUCUAAGGACCACCCGGAAAAACGGGUAAUGCUUGCGUCAACUAUUGAUGUCAUGUGAUAGGAAAUAGCUGGUACUGUCUCCUUUAAAUCAAUUAAACAAAUAAAUAUCUGCUAGUCCGUACUUUACUAUUUUAAUUCUUUAUUUUAUAUUAUUAAAAAAUAUAUUUAUUAUCCUCCAUCCUUAUCCAAAAGGUCAGGUAGUGGGCCUCGCACAACUUCAAUCAUAUGAGGUCGGCAUAAUUAAAGAAAUUAUAUUUUAUAUAAUGUGCACCACGUCAGUAGUGCACCGCAUGCACACAAGAUGAGAUAAGACCAU